AGAGUUUGAUCCUGGCUCAGGAUGAACGCUAGCGAUAGGCUUAACACAUGCAAGUCGAGGGGCAGCACGGAAUAGCAAUAUUUUGGUGGCGACCGGCGCACGGGUGAGUAACACGUAUGCAACCUACCCAUAACUGUGGAAUAACCCGUCGAAAGGCGGACUAAUACCGCAUGACAAGCAUUUUCUGCAUGGAAGAUGUUUUAAAGAUUAAUCGGUUAUGGAUGGGCAUGCGUUCCAUUAGGUAGUUGGCGGGGCAACGGCCCACCAAGCCUUCGAUGGAUAGGGGUUCUGAGAGGAAGGUCCCCCACACUGGUACUGAGCCAGGAUCAAACUCUAA
This 337-nucleotide ribosomal RNA is filed under the name uncultured bacterium. RNAcentral describes it as "bacterial SSU rRNA". It matches the Rfam family "Bacterial small subunit ribosomal RNA", at positions 8 to 341 of the family's 1533-position model. The record is from RNAcentral.